RNAcentral lists this ribosomal RNA (207 nucleotides) under uncultured bacterium. Its description in RNAcentral is "partial 16S ribosomal RNA". It matches the Rfam family "Bacterial small subunit ribosomal RNA", at positions 568 to 774 of the family's 1533-position model. The record is from RNAcentral.
UGCGCAGGCGGUUUUGUAAGACAGUGGUGAAAUCCCCGGGCUCAACCUGGGAACUGCCAUUGUGACUGCAAGGCUAGAGUGCGGCAGAGGGGGAUGGAAUUCCGCGUGUAGCAGUGAAAUGCGUAGAUAUGCGGAGGAACACCGAUGGCGAAGGCAAUCCCCUGGGCCUGCACUGACGCUCAUGCACGAAAGCGUGGGGAGCAAACA